This 3114-nucleotide ribosomal RNA is filed under the name Providencia huaxiensis. RNAcentral's name for it is "bacterial LSU rRNA". It matches the Rfam family "Bacterial large subunit ribosomal RNA". Lineage: Bacteria; Pseudomonadati; Pseudomonadota; Gammaproteobacteria; Enterobacterales; Morganellaceae. The record is from RNAcentral.
GGGUUGUGAGGUUAAGCGACUAAGCGUACACGGUGGAUGCCUAGGCAAUCAGAGGCGAUGAAGGACGUGCUAAUCUGCGAUAAGCGUCGGUAAGGUGAUAUGAACCGUUACAACCGACGAUUUCCGAAUGGGGAAACCCAGUGCAAUUCGUUGCACUAUCGUUUGAUGAAUACAUAGUCAAACGAAGCGAACCGGGGGAACUGAAACAUCUCAGUACCCCGAGGAAAAGAAAUCAACCGAGAUUCCCCUAGUAGCGGCGAGCGAACGGGGAGCAGCCCAGAGUCUUAAUCAGCAUUAGCAUCAGGAGAACGGUCUGGAAAGUCCGGCAGUAAAGGGUGAUAGCCCCGUAUCCGAAGGUGUUAGUGUUGUGAACUCGACGAGUAGGGCGGGACACGUGUUAUCCUGUCUGAAUAUGGGGGGACCAUCCUCCAAGGCUAAAUACUCCUGAUUGACCGAUAGUGAACCAGUACCGUGAGGGAAAGGCGAAAAGAACCCCGGCGAGGGGAGUGAAAUAGAACCUGAAACCGUGUACGUACAAGCAGUGGGAGCCCCAUCACUCAAGUGCCUCGGCAAUUGAGUGAGGGUGUAAAACCAUCACAAUAACAGCGCAGGAUUUGCCAACAAGAUUGGCUGAUUUUUUCAAGCCGCAGCGCAGUGGACAUCGAAGUCCAUGAGCAGCGGAAGUUAAAAAAUCGGGCAAGAUUGGCCGCAAAGACAAGCGGGACAUUUGAGGAUGGGGUGACUGCGUACCUUUUGUAUAAUGGGUCAGCGACUUAUAUUCUGUAGCAAGGUUAACCGUAUAGGGGAGCCGUAGGGAAACCGAGUCUUAACUGGGCGAAUGAGUUGCAGGGUAUAGACCCGAAACCCGGUGAUCUAGCCAUGGGCAGGUUGAAGGUUGGGUAACACUAACUGGAGGACCGAACCGACUAAUGUUGAAAAAUUAGCGGAUGACUUGUGGCUGGGGGUGAAAGGCCAAUCAAACCGGGAGAUAGCUGGUUCUCCCCGAAAGCUAUUUAGGUAGCGCCUCGUGAACUCAUCUUCGGGGGUAGAGCACUGUUUCGACUAGGGGGUCAUCCCGACUUACCAACUCGAUGCAAACUACGAAUACCGAAGAAUGUUAUCACGGGAGACACACGGCGGGUGCUAACGUUCGUCGUGAAGAGGGAAACAACCCAGACCGCCAGCUAAGGUCCCAAAGUCAUAGUUAAGUGGGAAACGAAGUGGGAAGGCUCAGACAGCCAGGAUGUUGGCUUAGAAGCAGCCAUCAUUUAAAGAAAGCGUAAUAGCUCACUGGUCGAGUCGGCCUGCGCGGAAGAUGUAACGGGGCUAAACUAUGCACCGAAGCUGCGGCAGCGAUAUUUAGAUAUUGUUGGGUAGGGGAGCGUUCUGUAAGCCUGUGAAGGUGUACUGUGAGGUAUGCUGGAGGUAUCAGAAGUGCGAAUGCUGACAUAAGUAACGAUAAUGCGGGUGAAAAACCCGCACGCCGGAAGACCAAGGGUUCCUGUCCAACGUUAAUCGGGGCAGGGUGAGUCGACCCCUAAGGCGAGGCAGAAAUGCGUAGUCGAUGGGAAACGGGUUAAUAUUCCCGUACUGGUGAUAAUUGCGAUGGGGGGACGGAGAAGGCUAGGCUAUCCGGGCGACGGUUGUCCCGGUUUAAGAAUGUAGGCAGGUGAAUUAGGCAAAUCCGGUUCACUACAUGCUGAGGUUCGAUGACGAGUCACUACGGUGAUGAAGUAGCUCAUGCCCCGCUUCCAGGAAAAGCCUCUAAGCUCUAGAUUAUCAUUAAUCGUACCCCAAACCGACACAGGUGGUCAGGUAGAGAAUACUCAGGCGCUUGAGAGAACUCGGGUGAAGGAACUAGGCAAAAUGGUGCCGUAACUUCGGGAGAAGGCACGCUGGCGCUAGGUGAAGUCCCUCGCGGAUGGAGCUGAAGCCAGUCGCAGAUACCAGCUGGCUGCAACUGUUUAUUAAAAACACAGCACUGUGCAAACACGAAAGUGGACGUAUACGGUGUGACGCCUGCCCGGUGCUGGAAGGUUAAUUGAUGGGGUUAUCCGUAAGGAGAAGCUCUUGAUCGAAGCCCCAGUAAACGGCGGCCGUAACUAUAACGGUCCUAAGGUAGCGAAAUUCCUUGUCGGGUAAGUUCCGACCUGCACGAAUGGCGUAAUGAUGGCCAGGCUGUCUCCACCCGAGACUCAGUGAAAUUGAACUCGCUGUGAAGAUGCAGUGUACCCGCGGCAAGACGGAAAGACCCCGUGAACCUUUACUAUAGCUUGACACUGAACAUUGAGCCUUGAUGUGUAGGAUAGGUGGGAGGCUUCGAAGCGUGGACGCCAGUCUGCGUGGAGCCAACCUUGAAAUACCACCCUUUAAUGUUUGAUGUUCUAACGUUGCCCCAUUAUCUGGGGUGCGGACAGUGUCUGGUGGGUAGUUUGACUGGGGCGGUCUCCUCCCAAAGAGUAACGGAGGAGCACGAAGGUUGGCUAAGCAUGGUCGGACAUCAUGCGGUUAGUGCAAAGGCAUAAGCCAGCUUGACUGCGAGAGUGACGGCUCGAGCAGGUACGAAAGUAGGUCUUAGUGAUCCGGUGGUUCUGAAUGGAAGGGCCAUCGCUCAACGGAUAAAAGGUACUCCGGGGAUAACAGGCUGAUACCGCCCAAGAGUUCAUAUCGACGGCGGUGUUUGGCACCUCGAUGUCGGCUCAUCACAUCCUGGGGCUGAAGUAGGUCCCAAGGGUACGGCUGUUCGCCGUUUAAAGUGGUACGCGAGCUGGGUUUAGAACGUCGUGAGACAGUUCGGUCCCUAUCUGCCGUGGGCGUUGGAAGAUUGAAAGGGGCUGCUCCUAGUACGAGAGGACCGGAGUGGACGCACCACUGGUGUUCGGGUUGUCAUGCCAAUGGCAUUGCCCGGUAGCUAAGUGCGGAAGAGAUAACCGCUGAAAGCAUCUAAGCGGGAAACUUGCCUUGAGAUGAGUCUUCCCUGACCCUUUAAGGGUCCUAAAGGAACGUUUAAGACUAAGACGUUGAUAGGUUGGGUGUGUAAGCAUAGCGAUAUGUUGAGCUAACCAAUACUAAUGAACCGUGAGGCUUAACCUGACAACACCGAAGGUGUUUUAG